This 483-nucleotide ribosomal RNA is filed under the name Talaromyces marneffei. RNAcentral describes it as "SSU rRNA". It matches the Rfam family "Bacterial small subunit ribosomal RNA", at positions 27 to 546 of the family's 1533-position model. The record is from RNAcentral. Lineage: Eukaryota; Fungi; Ascomycota; Eurotiomycetes; Eurotiales; Trichocomaceae.
UGAUUGAACGCUGUCCAAGUACUUGACACAUGCUAAUCGUACGACUUUAUUUUUUUUUGUAAAGUAGUGGUGUACAGGUGAGUAAAUGAUAAUUUGGCUACCUUAAAGUAAGAGUAAAUCUCUUAUAAAAGAAAAGGAAAUCAAAAUUCUGCUUUAAGAUGUUAAUCUUUAUCUCGGUGAAGUAGUAGAAGAGGUAAUGUCUUUUUCUAGCUAACACUCGUAGUCGUGACUGAGAGGUCGAUCGACCACAUUGGGUCUGAAAAAACCCCAAUGCGUAUUAGUACAGCAGUGAGGGAUAUUGGUCAAUGGUCUAACGACUGAACCAGUAACUUGGAAGAAUGUAUGUAUUAUAAUUAAUACAAUAACGAUUAAUUCGUAUAAAAUUCUAAAUAGGAUAAUGAUAAUGACAAUUUCCUAUUUAUAAGUCUUGACCAAAUUACGUGCCAGCAGUCGCGGUAAUACGUAGAAGACUAGUGUUAGUCA